This 497-nucleotide ribosomal RNA is filed under the name uncultured bacterium. Its description in RNAcentral is "partial 16S ribosomal RNA". It matches the Rfam family "Bacterial small subunit ribosomal RNA", at positions 28 to 507 of the family's 1533-position model. The record is from RNAcentral.
GAUGAACGCUGGCGGCGUGCCUAAUACAUGCAAGUCGAGCGAACAGACGAGGAGCUUGCUCCUCUGACGUUAGCGGCGGACGGGUGAGUAACACGUGGAUAACCUACCUAUAAGACUGGGAUAACUUCGGGAAACCGGAGCUAAUACCGGAUAAUAUAUUGAACCGCAUGGUUCAAUAGUGAAAGACGGUUUUGCUGUCACUUAUAGAUGGAUCCGCGCCGCAUUAGCUAGUUGGUAAGGUAACGGCUUACCAAGGCAACGAUGCGUAGCCGACCUGAGAGGGUGAUCGGCCACACUGGAACUGAGACACGGUCCAGACUCCUACGGGAGGCGGCAGUAGGGAAUCUUCCGCAAUGGGCGAAAGCCUGACGGAGCAACGCCGCGUGAGUGAUGAAGGUCUUCGGAUCGUAAAACUCUGUUAUUAGGGAAGAAAAAAUGUGUAAGUAACUAUGCACGUCUUGACGGUACCUAAUCAGAAAGCCACGGCUAACUACGUG